RNAcentral lists this ribosomal RNA (466 nucleotides) under uncultured bacterium. RNAcentral describes it as "bacterial SSU rRNA". It matches the Rfam family "Bacterial small subunit ribosomal RNA", at positions 917 to 1382 of the family's 1533-position model. The record is from RNAcentral.
GGGCCCGCACAAGCGGUGGAGCAUGUGGUUUAAUUCGACGCAACGCGCAGAACCUUACCAGCCCUUGACAUCCCGCGACCGGCUCAGAGAUGGGCUUUCCCAGCAAUGGGCGCGGAGACAGGUGCUGCAUGGCUGUCGUCAGCUCGUGUCGUGAGAUGUUGGGUUAAGUCCCGCAACGAGCGCAACCCUUGCCUUCAGUUGCCAUCAUUCAGUUGGGCACUCUGGAGGGACUGCCGGCGGCAAGCCGGAGGAAGGUGGGGAUGACGUCAAGUCCUCAUGGCCCUUACGGGCUGGGCUACACACGUGCUACAAUGGUGGCGACAGAGGGCACAAGCGAGAGCGCGAGCUUUAGCAAAUCCUCAAAAGCCAUCUCAGUUCAGAUUGCGCUCUGCAACUCGGGCGCAUGAAGGUGGAAUCGCUAGUAAUCGCAGAACAGCAGGCUGCGGUGAAUACGUUCCCGGGCCUU